AGAGUUUGAUCCUGGCUCAGAUUGAACGCUGGCGGAAUGCUUUACACAUGCAAGUCGAACGGCAGCACGGGAGCUUGCUCCUGGUGGCGAGUGGCGAACGGGUGAGUAAUAUAUCGGAACGUAUCCAAUAAUGGGGGAUAACUAGUCGAAAGAUUAGCUAAUACCGCAUACGCCCUGAGGGGGAAAGCUGGGGAUCUUCGGACCUAGCGUUAAUGGAGCGGCCGAUAUCUGAUUAGCUAGUAGGUGAGGUAAGAGCUCACCUAGGCGACGAUCAGUAGCUGGUCUGAGAGGACGACCAGCCACACUGGAACUGAGACACGGUCCAGACUCCUACGGGAGGCAGCAGUGGGGAAUUUUGGACAAUGGGCGCAAGCCUGAUCCAGCCAUUCCGCGUGAGUGAAGAAGGCCUUCGGGUUGUAAAGCUCUUUCGCAAGGGAAGAAAACUUAACCUCUAACAUAGGUUGAGGCUGACGGUACCUUGAUAAGAAGCACCGGCUAACUACGUGCCAGCAGCCGCGGUAAUACGUAGGGUGCGAGCGUUAAUCGGAAUUACUGGGCGUAAAGCGUGCGCAGGCGGCCUGAUAAGUCAGAUGUGAAAUCCCCGAGCUCAACUUGGGAACUGCGUUUGAAACUAUCAAGCUAG
RNAcentral lists this ribosomal RNA (643 nucleotides) under uncultured bacterium. RNAcentral's name for it is "bacterial SSU rRNA". It matches the Rfam family "Bacterial small subunit ribosomal RNA", at positions 8 to 644 of the family's 1533-position model. The record is from RNAcentral.